This is a long non-coding RNA of Zingiber officinale, 620 nucleotides long. RefSeq lists it as uncharacterized. NCBI's taxonomy places the organism in Eukaryota, Viridiplantae, Streptophyta, Magnoliopsida, Zingiberales, Zingiberaceae. The record is from RefSeq and is a predicted model, not a curated record. The transcript is spliced from 2 exons.
UACCUCCUCAAGCACGACACAGUAGCGGAAGAUCUCUUCUCUCACGCGAUUUCCUCCCGCGGCGGCUAGGCCCUUUCUACUUCUUCUUCUCAGAUACAAGCGGCGACAGCAGUAAGUACUUGGCAGGGGCAGCAAACUUCGAAGAAGAUUCCGAUUAUCCACCUCACCGAGGGGUUCUCCGGUGAGAUCCUUCACCUUCCGACUUCUUUGUCUUUCUGGAGUUCGGACGGGUAGAGGAAGAAGAAGGCAGCAGAGCAUAGGGAGGUCCGACGGCGGUUCAUUCCAGCACCUCCAUCUUCAUUUCCAGCCAACUUCCCGCAGAGGGGUUCUCCGUUGGAAAAUUGGCUUCACCGUUGUCGAAGUUUGCAGCAAUCCGACAAUGAGCUACUGUCCACUGGUUUUGGGGGUUCCGAAACUGGGUCCUCGUGUGACGACGAGGAUAGUCAUUGGUAUUGAAGAAGUUGUGUGGAUUGUGGUUUGGAUAAUUAGAAUUUUCUUGUUUAGUUAGUUUAAUUUGGUUCAUUGCUUAUGUUUACUUCUGUUGAUGUUUUGUGGUUGAAUGCUUGUAUUGAACGUUAUUUCCAUGUUUGAAUUGCACUUACUUUGCUUAAUUAGAUUUA